CAACCACAUAGCAACAACCUGACAACCACCCAGAAUAUGGUCCAAGCAAUUAUCCAUAACAUAAACAAACACUGUUUAAAAUGAUUUUAAUACUAUUUUUAACUGUAAGGAUUUUUACAGUCGAAACAGGAACUAAGUACAGCACUAAAUGUACCGACAGCCUAAUUUAAAGCUGAAAUCAAGAAUCUGGAUUGGGCUUUGAUGAAGACCUGUCGCGCAACUUCGUCACGCGCGCAAUGUGAGGAAAAGUUGGUGUCAGACAAACUUUCUGAAAGACCCUCUACAAGUGCCCAUCCAGACUCUCACUGAUCUUUAGACAUCCCGUGCGGUCGCUAUGAUUGUUUUCAGUGUCGUUUUCGGUCAAUCUGACGCGAAAGGAUCGAGGAUGGUCCGAUGCGCAAAAUGGGGAUCUGUCAGUUCAUAAGGAGGAUAUCAAAGCAGCUCGACGGAAUGAAAACGUUUCAGUUGUUUUGGCAUCAUUUUGUUUAUCCAGAAGGCAAACGUGGCUCGAAUGCUGAGGAAGGAGCUGCCAGAUAUCGAGAAUAUUUUGGCCUUGAACCGACGGGUGCAGACGUACACCGGGCUUUACUCGGAGAAGAAACCAGAGAUAAAGCGCUGGAAGGGGAACCCGGAGAAAGGCUGCGAGGGAUGUGCGGGUGUCGCUCAAAGCUGCCGUAGCUCCGUGGCACAGUUAUCAUUUUGGGAGCUGGAGACGUGGCCUUUCGACUGUGUCACUUCUUCCCCGCGUGUGGUCUUCAGGAAGGGCUUCACCAACAUACGGGCGGUACCUGAAGAGUGAUAGAGGCCAUGGCUCCCAUCAGGUUAAACAGAUGGGGGCUUCCAGAGCUGAACCCAUGAGCAUGCAGACCAGUGAGCCGUGGGGUUUUGCUGGGGGCGAUGUGACCGUUCUGGCCAAUACAACCUUAGAGGCAGUCAAUAAUGGAAAACAGGCCUCAUGACGUACACAUACUUACAGGACAUCUCUGGGCAGAGGGUCAGCGAUCCACCCUGGCUGUCUCUUGUGUACUCACCUAUAGACAUGGUGGACAUCAGAUGUGUGAGAUCACCUUCCCCAACCCGUUUGGCCUGGCCAGUGCUUUGCCCGCUACCAGCGCCACCAUGAUUCUCCGGGCCUUCGAGCAGGGGUUGGGGAUUCGCCCUCACCAAAACCCUCUCACUGGAAGGAUUUGGUGACCAACGUGUCUCCGUGUAUUAUACGUGGGACCACCUCUGGACCCUGACAGGGUUCCUUUCUCAACGUUGAGCUGAUCAACGAGACCAGGCGUAAAGACUGGUGCCAAAACGUGAAGGAGCUCAAAGCUGAUUUUCCUAAGAAUCACAGAUUGUCAUAUCCAGCGUAAUGUGCAGCUACAACAAAGCUGAUUGGACCGAGCUUGCCAAAAAGGCAGAGAUGCCUGGAGCUGAAUCUAUCAUGUACUCAUGAAAUGGAGGAAAGGUGAAUGGUUUUCGCCUGUGGGCAGGAUCCCGAGCUGGUACCAAACAUCUGCCGUUGGGUUCGACAGGCUGUUCGCGUUCCUUUCUUUGCCAAACUCGCCCCUAAUGUGACCGACAUCGUGGACGUUGCCAAAGCUGCACAGGAAGGUGGAGCAGAUGGAGUCACAGCCACCGACACCGUUUCGGGGCUGAUGGGACUCAAGGCAGACGGCUCUCCCUGGCCUGGCAUCGGCCGAGGAAGGCGCACCACAUAUGGCGGAGUGUCUGGAAAUGCGAUUCGUCCAAAUCCACUACUACCACCACAAAGCUCUGCCUGUAUUUCCCAUUCUAGCCACCGGGGGCAUUGACUUUGCUGAGUCUGGACUCUAGUUGCUCCACGCCGGGCCACAGACUCUGCCCAAUUUUGACCCAUACCUGUAAGAAAAGAGGGAAGCCAUAGCAAACCACAGAGAGUGAGAGACCGUAAACCCAGUGGGCUUGCCGCCGAGAGGUUUUAGCCUCCCAUCACACCUGUAACACAGUUAAGGAUGUAAUAGCAAAAGCCCUGGAACACAUUGGCACCUAUAAGGACCUAAAUAUCCAGGAGCAAGUGCAGGUUCUGAUCGAUCCAGAGAUGUGCAUCAACUGUGGGAAAUGUUACAUGACCUGUAAUGAUGCCGGAUACCAGGCCAUCGUCUUUGACCCUGAGACUCGUCUGCCUGUGAUUCAGGACAGCUGUACCGGCUGCGCUCUCCGUGUCUCGGCGUCUGCCCCAUCAUCGACUGCAUCGAGAUCACCUUACGUGCCAAGACGAGGACUUCCACAAGUCGUGAAUCAUGAGCCAAUUAUCCAGAAAUAAUCCACGGGGUGAGCGUUGUGCUACAGUAUGUUGACAGUUUAGCGGGCCGAUUUGAUGAGAUGGAGUUUGUGCUUCUCUUUCUCCGAGGGCUGACGGGAAUGAAUCUAAGCGGUGGAAAUAUAAUGGCUGUUAAUGAAGUUUAUGCUCUGGCUGAACACUAUCGUCUAACCAGAGCCACAAUGAUGGAUUGUCCGCUACAUCUAGAACAAAAUGCAAUCAUAUAUACAAGAGGUGGUGAUAGGAAAAGAGGAAAUGAAUGGAUUUUAAUUGAGUAGUUGCUGGUUUGGCUUGGAAUCACACUUCAUGUUUUCCACAACGUAUAAUGAUUACUAAAGCGCGGUAUCCUAUCAAGCCAAAUUACCUCAACAACUGCAAAACUAACUUUAUUUAGCAUACCAUAAGGCAGUAUUUAAUUAUUAGCUGACAUCUUAUGAUUUAGCUCUAACCACACAAAUUACGGUAGUACUAUCGUAUUAUUUCAUGAAAAAUUAAACCCUUGGAAAAUAGAAUAAAGUUGGUAAACAAGAACAAAUCGUGCUUAACAGGUUAAUAACAAAUGGUUGAUUUUGAUUACAUUAGCCAUCUGGACAGGGUCAUUUGGAGAGCCGCUGUACUCCAGUAAUGUGCUGGACAUUUUGCGUAAAGGUCAUAUGAGACCCAGACAUUAGGGAUGAAGACUAGCUGUUAUUCAUCUUAGAUCCAAAAGGUCAAGUCUGACCACCUCUAUCUCUAAUGCACGGCCAUCCGUAUCACACAGUGAGGGAGCAGAUCUCUUAGGUCUAAGCUUGGUGUCUGUGAUACAAGCGAUCAGACGAAACAAUGGACAGACAUUCGGGUUAACUGUGUGUCUGUCAAUGUCAUUUAUGAAUGAAUGAAAUGUCCAAGUUAUAAUUUAUAAAGAAUGCAUAAAGAAAUAGAGCCGUUUACGUUUUUGCAUUUACAGGUUUUUGUCAAUGAAAUCAUCAUAUAUUUAAUUCAGAACAAUGUGUUGUUUUUCACAAUAAGAGUAAAGGAAAAUCAUAUCAAUGCAAUUGCAAAUAUCAAAUAUUUUUAGUUUUUUUUUUUUUUUGCUAAAAUAUGACCUGAACACAUUUACAGGUUUGUGAUCAAAUAAACCUUAUCAAAUAAAGUCCCUUAAUAAUAAUAAGCAAUUUCGUACAUUUGAUUUAGGAAAAACUAAUUCAUAGGUUCUCAGAUGUUUUUUGCAUAAUACUUAAUACUUAUCUUUUACUUAUAAUUUGUUCUUAUCUGUAACUGCACAAUGUUCUUAUCUCUAAA
Misgurnus anguillicaudatus (oriental weatherfish) is the source of this 3571-nucleotide non-coding RNA. Lineage: Eukaryota; Metazoa; Chordata; Actinopteri; Cypriniformes; Cobitidae. The record is from RefSeq and is a predicted model, not a curated record.